This 254-nucleotide ribosomal RNA is filed under the name uncultured bacterium. RNAcentral's name for it is "partial 16S ribosomal RNA". It matches the Rfam family "Bacterial small subunit ribosomal RNA", at positions 524 to 776 of the family's 1533-position model. The record is from RNAcentral.
UACGAAGGGUGCAAGCGUUGUUCGGAAUUAUUGGGCGUAAAGCGCACGUAGGCGGCCUUGUAAGUCUCACUGUGAAAGUCCGGGGCUCAACCCCGGGAUGCCAGGGGAUACUGCGAGGCUGGAGACAAGCAGAGGUUGGUAGAAUUCCGGGUGUAGCGGUGGAAUGCGUAGAGAUCCGGAGGAAUACCAGAGGCGAAGGCGGCCAACUGGGCUUGUUCUGACGCUGAGGUGCGAAAGCGUGGGGAGCGAACAGG